This is a non-coding RNA of Plutella xylostella (diamondback moth), 81 nucleotides long. NCBI's taxonomy places the organism in Eukaryota, Metazoa, Arthropoda, Insecta, Lepidoptera, Plutellidae. The record is from Rfam.
UCUCUUCUGGACGAUGAGUGAAUUUUUAGUUCACGUUUUGACAAUACCGUGACUAGAUUUUCACUCAUCCUCUAUGGGAGC